Molecule: non-coding RNA, 27 nt
Filed under: Mus musculus (house mouse)
Lineage: Eukaryota; Metazoa; Chordata; Mammalia; Rodentia; Muridae
Source: RNAcentral
UGGCCUCUGACCUUGACAUUAGCCAGU